UGGGGAAUAUUGGACAAUGGGCGAAAGCCUGAUCCAGCCAUGCCGCGUGUGUGAAGAAGGUCUUCGGAUUGUAAAGCACUUUAAGUUGGGAGGAAGGGCAUUAACCUAAUACGUUAGUGUUUUGACGUUACCGACAGAAUAAGCACCGGCUAACUUCGUGCCAGCAGCCGCGGUAAUACGAAGGGUGCAAGCGUUAAUCGGAAUUACUGGGCGUAAAGCGCGCGUAGGUGGUCCGUUAAGUUGGAUGUGAAAGCCCCGGGCUCAACCUGGGAACUGCAUCCAAAACUGGCGAGCUAGAGUACGGUAGAGGGUGGUGGAAUUUCCUGUGUAGCGGUGAAAUGCGUAGAUAUAGGAAGGAACACCAGUGGCGAAGGCGACCACCUGGACUGAUACUGACACUGAGGUGCGAAAGCGUGGGGAGCAAACAGG
Molecule: ribosomal RNA, 429 nt
Filed under: Ectopseudomonas mendocina
Lineage: Bacteria; Pseudomonadati; Pseudomonadota; Gammaproteobacteria; Pseudomonadales; Pseudomonadaceae
Description: bacterial SSU rRNA
Rfam family: Bacterial small subunit ribosomal RNA
Source: RNAcentral